This 416-nucleotide ribosomal RNA is filed under the name uncultured bacterium. RNAcentral's name for it is "bacterial SSU rRNA". It matches the Rfam family "Bacterial small subunit ribosomal RNA", at positions 355 to 787 of the family's 1533-position model. The record is from RNAcentral.
UGGGGAAUAUUGCACAAUGGGGGAAACCCUGAUGCAGCGACGCCGCGUGAGUGAAGAAGUAUUUCGGUAUGUAAAGCUCUAUCAGCAGGGAAGAAAAUGACGGUACCUGACUAAGAAGCCCCGGCUAACUACGUGCCAGCAGCCGCGGUAAUACGUAGGGGGCAAGCGUUAUCCGGAUUUACUGGGUGUAAAGGGAGCGUAGGUGGCAUGGUAAGCCAGAAGUGAAAACCCAGGGCUCAACUCUGCGGAUUGCUUUUGGAACUAUCAGGCUGGAGUGCUGGAGGGGUAAGCGGAAUUCCUAGUGUAGCGGUGAAAUGCGUAGAUAUUAGGAGGAACACCGGUGGCGAAGGCGGCUUACUGGACAGAAACUGACACUGAGGCUCGAAAGCGUGGGGAGCAAACAGGAUUAGAUACCC